This is a non-coding RNA of Nylanderia fulva, 858 nucleotides long. The record is from RefSeq and is a predicted model, not a curated record. NCBI's taxonomy places the organism in Eukaryota, Metazoa, Arthropoda, Insecta, Hymenoptera, Formicidae.
CACGUCCAGAGAAUCAGUCAGUCUUUCGUGGUCUUUCGAACCACGUCGCCGUAGAUAUAAUAUACUUUUAAUAAAGUGUGUGAAUAUAUAUAUUCUUCCAACAUUGCAUACUUCUAAAGCAUUAAUUUGCUGCAGUUUAUUUUUAAAACAAUAUAUAGUUUUAAUCAAUAUAGUUUUCCAAUUAACAUUCUGUUUCGAAAUAUUCGUGUGUUUUACAGACUUAAAAUAAAUUUUUCGACACGAUGAUAUUUCUACUAUUAAUUAGCGGAAUAAUGUAUAUCGUUGGGACGGCUUCUACUCCUAAUCAAUCGUCUUUAUGCUAUCAACCAUCAAAAUAUAUAAAACCAAAUCAUUACGAUAUCAUGUUUAUAUCAUGUAUAGAAGAAAACAUUUUCUAUGGAGAAUACAAUAUCAGCAUCAACAUUCUUAACAAAACGCAACAUAUAUUAAUCAACAACAUACAUUCAGAAAAAUUAUAUUUUGAAAAUAUAAUUUUAAUUAAAAAUCUAGAAAAACAUCAUGAGAAUAUUAAGUAUACAGUUUAUAAACCGACAUAUGAUAUUCAAGAAGACAUAAUUGACCUUUAUUUUAAGGAUAAGUUAUUACCAGGAAAUUACACUUUAUAUAUUACAUAUUUUGGUUUUACUGAUGAAGUCUUUAGAAUUUUCGAUGUGAAAAAAAAAUUGCUUUGGUAGCUGCUACUCAUUUCCAUAUAAUAGGCGCUCGACAAUUGUCUUCAUGUUGGAGUCAACAAAAUUUAUUGUUAGAAGCAACUUUUAACAUAUCUAUAGGAUGUAAUCAAUGCACGGCUUUGUCAAAUAUGCCAUUGCAAAAUACAGAAAAAAACAAGCACAAUAU